Molecule: long non-coding RNA, 2382 nt
Organism: Triticum dicoccoides
Lineage: Eukaryota; Viridiplantae; Streptophyta; Magnoliopsida; Poales; Poaceae
Exons: 2
Source: RefSeq, a predicted model, not a curated record
CGCGGUGGCUCCCGCCGACGCCGUGUGCCCCCGGAACCUCUCAUGCAUCCUCUCAGCCACACGGCCCACCAACACCAUGGCCCCCUCCUCACCAUCUCGUCCACCCCCAUCCCCAUCUUCUCCGAUGCCGACCUUGGCAAGCAUGCAGGCGACGCAUCUCCUGCCCCCUCCUCUGCGUAUUAGUCCCAGCGCCCAACAUCUCCACAGCCCCCUCCUCCUCGCCAUCUCCUCCACCCCCUUCCCCGUCUCCUGCCGCUGACCGCCACCGGCUACGUGUUGCUUCCUUGGCGGCGGCGCCUCCGCAUACCCCUCCUCCUCCUUCCCCACUGUCACUGAAGCGCCCCACGUGGAGGUGCUAUGCUUGGCUACUGCCUCUCCUUCCCAAUCCUCAUCCCUCCCACCCGUUACCCAGAGUUCAAUUCGCGCGCCCAGGUCGAAGUCUCUAGAAGCCAGUCUUGCAGAGUUGCAGUCCAAUAUAAAUCAAAUGGGUAGGCAGAUGGGACUCAAGCUGCUUGAACUACACCUCAAGAGCCACACGCUCGUCACGCCAAUCUGAAGGUGAGAAGAUAGAUGAGGCAAGAUCUUCAGAGCCAAUAUUGUUUUUCACAUAUGUUCUAAGCAAACAACUAAAGAAGGGCAUACUAUGGUUGACAAAUGAUUCCAUGGCCUAUUUGUAGAUUCGUGGUGGUGUUGUACACAAAUUCAUGUUCCCUGUGCAUAUGUAGCAAAGUGUUCAGUCAAACACGUCUACUUCGUUCUUGUUUGUCCUGGAACCAUUUAUAAAUGUGUGCUCAUGCUAUUAUAUAUAUGCUUUUUCGAUAUAUUCAUUGCUGCCAUUUAUCUUCUCAUUUAAGUUUGGUGCGCAUUCCUUCAUUGCCUCUCCUCUGGUAUCAACCUGAAUGACCACGACAAUCGCUGAAUGUCAGGUGAUCAUUGCUUUCAAUUCAUUUUUGUGUUUAUACUGAAGUGAUUUGGUGUCUGUUUUUCAGGAUAGUUUAACUUGCGAGAAAAUACUAUUGCAUUUUAAAAAGCGAUUGUGCUUGAUCUUAUAAGCAAUACUGCAUUUUAAAAAGUGUUUCUCACUAAGGAAGGUAAUUACAAUAAGCAUAAGAAUCAUCAUGUGAUUGUUUUUAGGAUAACUGAAAUAUGCAAAAAAAAAUUGCCAGAAGAUCCUGAUCUUACUAAGCACAGAGUUCUUGGCUUAAGUACCAGGCAGUAGGUGACUGGUUUUCAUGGUGUUAUAGUCAAAUCUUGCUUUAUGUAAUGUAAGAAGAGGCUGAAAGUAUGUUCUAUUAAGCAGCAAUCUAAUGAUAUAUAUAUACAGCAAAGGUUGCCUGCAAGAAGCAUUGCCUUCUGUACAUUGAGCAUUUGUUUGUAUAUCUAAGGUCAAUAAAUUGCAUUUCACAAUGACAAUUCAGAUAUGUUGUUGGUCAUUCAGCUUAGCAAUUCCAGAAGUUGUAGUUCCAGCCAAACAUCUACCUUGAUGUCGACAUCGACAGUAGUAGAGAUAAUAUACGCCAUAUAAUCUUGUAAACAUAUGUGUAGAUCAGUAUAAGUACUUUCAGUCUUCCACCUUGUGAAUUAGUCUGUCAAGCUGUGGAUGGUCAGGAGCCGCCUGAGCCCUGCAAAGAUUAUGUUCAAGCUACAGCUUGAGUCGGAAUUUGUACGGAUACAUGAAAAUGUGAUGUAUGCCGAGAAAAGGUCUGUUUGCUAUACAAUUCAAUUUUUACCUUGCAGUUGCAGUUAGAAGUUCAAACCACAACUCAAGUAUGUUGUUAAUUGACAGUGAGCAUCCACUUGCAGAAGGUUUCUGCUUGGAAGUGCUAACUGACAGUGAAAUGUAGAAAUAAGUUGCAACUUUGUAAUACCCAUCUGAUAUGUGAAACAAGAAUUGUUACUAAUUCACAAUAUGUAUCUAUGAUUGUGAGAUGGGACACCAUGUGCACAGGGGAGGCAACACAAGGUCGAGAGAAAAGCCUGUGUGGAAAGAGAUGCAACAUAUGGCCAUCAUUAGAAAUGUUAUAUUUUUGUAUAUGUUGUAAUUAUUCAUGCAAAGGUUACAAGCUUGAUGCACAAUUAUAAGUAUCUAGAGGAGUUGACGAAGAGUGGAGUUUUUUCUUGACAAUACAGAGUAUGAGUUAGGAGACGUUCAAGUGCAACUGCAGAGCAAACAUGACGGAGGUGAAGCUUUUACCGGAGAAAGUCGCGUAAAGUCUUUUUAAGGAAAAUUUGUGUUUUCUUACAGCCGUGGAGUAGGAUCCAGAUUGGUAAGGGAAGGGGCGCUAGAGCAACAAUAGUGUCCUUACCCAUUAGACUUUAAUUCUGUGUACCUCCUAAUCAUUUACCCGAUUACUAUGGAAAUAGAAGAAGAAAGUUGAGACA